RNAcentral lists this ribosomal RNA (502 nucleotides) under uncultured bacterium. Its description in RNAcentral is "partial 16S ribosomal RNA". It matches the Rfam family "Bacterial small subunit ribosomal RNA", at positions 30 to 523 of the family's 1533-position model. The record is from RNAcentral.
AUUGAACGCUGGCGGAAUGCUUUACACAUGCAAGUCGAACGGCAGCAUAGGUGCUUGCACCUGAUGGCGAGUGGCGAACGGGUGAGUAAUACAUCGGAACGUGCCCAGUCGUGGGGGAUAACGUAGCGAAAGUUACGCUAAUACCGCAUACGAUCUAAGGAUGAAAGCGGGGGACCGUAAGGCCUCGCGCGAUUGGAACGGCCGAUGUCAGAUUAGGUAGUUGGUGGGGUAAAGGCCCACCAAGCCAACGAUCUGUAGCUGGUCUGAGAGGACGACCAGCCACACUGGGACUGAGACACGGCCCAGACUCCUACGGGAGGCAGCAGUGGGGAAUUUUGGACAAUGGGCGCAAGCCUGAUCCAGCCAUUCCGCGUGCAGGACGAAGGCCUUCGGGUUGUAAACUGCUUUUGUACGGAGCGAAAAGCCUUGGGUUAAUACCUCGAGGCCAUGACGGUACCGUAAGAAUAAGCACCGGCUAACUACGUGCCAGCCGCCGCAGUAA